Molecule: ribosomal RNA, 246 nt
Filed under: Parabacteroides distasonis
Lineage: Bacteria; Pseudomonadati; Bacteroidota; Bacteroidia; Bacteroidales; Tannerellaceae
Description: partial 16S ribosomal RNA
Rfam family: Bacterial small subunit ribosomal RNA
Source: RNAcentral
GCUGAGGACUCUGGUGGGACUGCCAGCGUAAGCUGCGAGGAAGGCGGGGAUGACGUCAAAUCAGCACGGCCCUUACAUCCGGGGCGACACACGUGUUACAAUGGCGUGGACAAAGGGAGGCCACCUGGCGACAGGGAGCGAAUCCCCAAACCACGUCUCAGUUCGGAUCGGAGUCUGCAACCCGACUCCGUGAAGCUGGAUUCGCUAGUAAUCGCGCAUCAGCCAUGGCGCGGUGAAUACGUUCCC